Molecule: ribosomal RNA, 446 nt
Filed under: uncultured bacterium
Lineage: Bacteria
Description: partial 16S ribosomal RNA
Rfam family: Bacterial small subunit ribosomal RNA
Source: RNAcentral
CCUACGGGGGGCAGCAGUCGAGAAUCAUUCACAAUGGGGGAAACCCUGAUGGUGCGACGCCGCGUGGGGGAAUGAAGGUCUUCGGAUUGUAAACCCCUGUCAUGUGGGAGCAAAUUAAAAAGAUAGUACCACAAGAGGAAGAGACGGCUAACUCUGUGCCAGCAGCCGCGGUAAUACAGAGGUCUCAAGCGUUGUUCGGAAUCACUGGGCGUAAAGCGUGCGUAGGCUGUUUCGUAAGUCGUGUGUGAAAGGCGCGGGCUCAACCCGCGGACGGCACAUGAUACUGCGAGACUAGAGUGAUGGAGGGGGAACCGGAAUUCUCGGUGUAGCAGUGAAAUGCGUAGAUAUCGAGAGGAACACUCGUGGCGAAGGCGGGUUCCUGGACAGUAACUGACGCUGAGGCACGAAGGCCAGGGGAGCGAAAGGGAUUAGAUACCCCAGUAGUC